GAAAAGUUAGUUUAAAAAAAACAUUAAUUUGUCAAAUUAAAAUUAUUAUUAUAUAAUACUUUUUU
Molecule: transfer RNA, 65 nt
Filed under: Himacerus apterus
Lineage: Eukaryota; Metazoa; Arthropoda; Insecta; Hemiptera; Nabidae
Description: tRNA-Asp
Source: RNAcentral